AUGAACGCUAGCUACAGGCUUAACACAUGCAAGUCGAGGGGCAGCAUGGUCUUAGCUUGCUAAGACUGAUGGCGACCGGCGCACGGGUGAGUAACACGUAUCCAACCUGCCGUCUACUCUUGGACAGCCUUCUGAAAAGGAAGAUUAAUACGAGAUGGCAUCAUGAGUCCGCAUGUUCACAUGAUUAAAGGUAUUCCGGUAGACGAUGGGGAUGCGUUCCAUUAGCUGGUUGGCGGGGUAACGGCCCACCAAGGCAACGAUGGAUAGGGGUUCUGAGAGGAAGGUCCCCCACACUGGUACUGAGACACGGACCAGACUCCUACGGGAGGCAGCAGUGAGGAAUAUUGGUCAAUGGGCGAGAGCCUGAACCAGCCAAGUCGCGUGGAGGAAGACUGCCCUACGGGUUGUAAACUCCUUUUACCUGGGAAUAACGGGCGCUACGCGUAGCGCUGUGCAUGUACCGGGAGAAUAAGCAUCGGCUAAUUCCGUG
This 490-nucleotide ribosomal RNA is filed under the name uncultured bacterium. RNAcentral describes it as "bacterial SSU rRNA". It matches the Rfam family "Bacterial small subunit ribosomal RNA", at positions 29 to 507 of the family's 1533-position model. The record is from RNAcentral.